Molecule: ribosomal RNA, 253 nt
Filed under: uncultured bacterium
Lineage: Bacteria
Description: partial 16S ribosomal RNA
Rfam family: Bacterial small subunit ribosomal RNA
Source: RNAcentral
UACGAAGGGGGCUAGCGUUGUUCGGAAUUACUGGGCGUAAAGCGCACGUAGGCGGAUUAAUAAGUCAGGGGUGAAAUCCCGGGGCUCAACCUCGGAACUGCCUCUGAUACUGUUAGUCUCGAGUCCGAUAGAGGUGAGUGGAAUUCCUAGUGUAGAGGUGAAAUUCGUAGAUAUUAGGAAGAACACCAGUGGCGAAGGCGGCUCACUGGAUCGGUACUGACGCUGAGGUGCGAAAGCGUGGGGAGCAAACAGG